RNAcentral lists this long non-coding RNA (754 nucleotides) under Castor canadensis (American beaver). RNAcentral describes it as "lncRNA (ENSCCNG00000024611.1)". Lineage: Eukaryota; Metazoa; Chordata; Mammalia; Rodentia; Castoridae. The record is from RNAcentral.
CCCCGCGCAGCCGCACGGGCCGCCACGCCGCGCACGCCGUGCGGACCGCGCCCGAGCGGCCUGCGGGGCGGCCCUGCGGCCUGGCCCCCCGCGCUCCGGGGGCUCCGAGCGAGCGGCGACAGCCGCGGUAUGCAGGACGGCCCCGACUAGCGCGCCGAGCCCCGGGAGGCCUGGCGCGGAGGCGGGGGCGGGCGCGGCGGAGGCGGAGCCCGCUCGGGGCCCGCCCGCCCGCCGGGGGAGCCGCCGGCAGUGGCCGAGGAGGCGGCGCGGCGGACGGCGGCCCGAGAGUAGCGCCCGCGCUGCGGCCCGCGGGACCGCGCCGCGACCGCCCGGGCUCGGCCCGGAGGAGCGCCCGCCGCUGCCGCCGCCGCGCGCUUGGAGCGAGAGUGAAGCUCUUAGCCUGUUGCUCACCACAUCUCACCCUCGAGAUGCUCCUACUGUGGCAGAGAGGCAGAUGUUCAGACUUCUUAGAGGAGCAUAGUGACCUCAUACGGUGAAGCCAAAUUACGCUGUGAUGUUUGACCUGGUUUACCUGUUCUGAUAAUUGGGGAGAGAGUUGAGUUGAAUAAUCUUUGCCUGAAAUGGCACUGUAUUUUUUCUGCUUUGGAGAGUACUCAGUUCUAACUUGUGAUUAUUGAUAGAGAAGCCUUUCUUCCUCUCCCACCACCCUACUUCCCCAGCCUAGAGAAGAAUCUCAGUGCCUUUUAAUGUUUAUUGUGUGGUUUUCUUUAGAAAACCACCUGGCUGAUUUUAG